CACGUAGGGCGCAAGCGUUGUCCGGAAUUAUUGGGCGUAAAGAGCUCGUAGGCGGACUGUCACGUCUGCUGUGAAAAGCUGGGGCUUAACCCUGGCCUUGCAGUGGAUACGGGCAGACUAGAGGUAGGUAGGGGAGAAUGGAAUUCCCGGUGUAGCGGUGAAAUGCGCAGAUAUCGGGAGGAACACCGGUGGCGAAGGCGGUUCUCUAGGCCUUACCUGACGCUGAGGAGCGAAAGCGUGGGGAGCGAACAGG
This 253-nucleotide ribosomal RNA is filed under the name uncultured bacterium. RNAcentral's name for it is "partial 16S ribosomal RNA". It matches the Rfam family "Bacterial small subunit ribosomal RNA", at positions 524 to 776 of the family's 1533-position model. The record is from RNAcentral.